AGUGAACGCUGGCGGUAGGCCUAACACAUGCAAGUCGAACGGCAGCACAGUAAGAGCUUGCUCUUACGGGUGGCGAGUGGCGGACGGGUGAGGAAUACAUCGGAAUCUACUUUUUCGUGGGGGAUAACGUAGGGAAACUUACGCUAAUACCGCAUACGACCUACGGGUGAAAGCAGGGGAUCUUCGGACCUUGCGCGAUUGAAUGAGCCGAUGUCGGAUUAGCUAGUUGGCGGGGUAAAGGCCCACCAAGGCGACGAUCCGUAGCUGGUCUGAGAGGAUGGUCAGCCACACUGGAACUGAGACACGGUACAGACUCCUAGGGGAGGCAGCAGUGGGGAAUAUUGGACAAAGGGCGCAAGCCUGAGCCAGACAUACCGCGUGGGUGAAGAAGGCCUUCGGGUUGUAAAGCCCUUUUGUUGGGAAAGAAAAGCAGCAGGUUAAUACCCCGCUGUUCUGACGGUACCCAAAGAAUAAGCACCGGCUAACUUCGUG
This 492-nucleotide ribosomal RNA is filed under the name uncultured bacterium. RNAcentral describes it as "partial 16S ribosomal RNA". It matches the Rfam family "Bacterial small subunit ribosomal RNA", at positions 29 to 507 of the family's 1533-position model. The record is from RNAcentral.